RNAcentral lists this long non-coding RNA (649 nucleotides) under Chlamydomonas reinhardtii. Its description in RNAcentral is "long non-coding RNA (CREI_LNC000733)". The record is from RNAcentral. Lineage: Eukaryota; Viridiplantae; Chlorophyta; Chlorophyceae; Chlamydomonadales; Chlamydomonadaceae.
GUGCGCGCAAAGGCGGGAGAGCUGGCGUCGGAUAGAGGGAGAGGGCGAGUUCAGAAGGCGUGGGGCCAGGCCCUGACACGGCUCUCUGGGAGGGCGACACGGCUUGCGGCCGCUGACCACGGCGGCUGCGGCUGCACGGCAUGUGUGUGUAUAAUUGGCACGUGAUUUUGCCGCCCUUACACGGGCCCACCCCACCACACCGCUCCUGACCUCUCACCCUGUGUGUGGUGUCGCCCAUGUGUGUGCCCGCCCGCCCGCCUGUGUGCAGCUACGCCGCGCGCUUCAUUGCCGAGUACGUGGACAAGACGGUGGGCAAGGACGUGUUGAACGUGGGCGAGUACUGGACAGGUGCGGAGGGCUUGGGGGUGGGGUGGGGUGUAGAUACCAACCCAGACUGAAGCGCACCCAAUGUUGAAGGGGCCGCAGGGGAGCUGGCACAGUGUUGCAUGCUUCCUUCCGUGUGCUCUCCACCGCAUGCAUGCACAAACAACCCAUGCCCGCAACACUCCCCUAAACCCCUCCUCCCUACCCCUCCUCCCUCCUCCCUCCUCCCCCCUCCAGAGGCCCAGUGGCAGGGCGAGCACCUGGACUUCAACCAGGACGGCGCCCGCCAGGUGCUGUGCAACUGGCUGGACCAGAGCAAUGGCAG